AAUGUGUGAGGUGGUGCUAUGUAGCAGGAACCCCUCUUGCUUUGCAAAUAGUUUUUUGUUUGUUUUCCUUUUUGCCCAAUAGAGCCCUGCUCUACUGACCCUUCAAUGUGCCCGUGUGCCUAAAUAUUCCUGGUCGUGUGAAAAGAACCCAGGUAUUAGCUGAACUAAGGAGCACAAUUCUGCAACAUUUUGGCACCCAAACACGGGGCUUGAGAAAUGAAUGCAAUUGGAGAAACUGGUUGUUUUACCAGGCGUUGAUUGGAAAUGUGUGCUUCCCUUUAAGCAGUCAAGCUCAACUUGCAGAACUGAUGGGAACCCCUUGGGAAAACUGGCCUCAAAUGUUUGUCUACACAGUCCACAUACAGGGUUCUUAACCUGCGAUUCCAUGAACUCCAAGUUAAGAACACAUGAUCUGGAUGUUUGACAAAAUACCUUCAGCAGGAAUAAUGAAAGCCCUGACAUUUCUGUGUGCAUAAAAACUGGAAAACUUUAAAAGUAAUAAAUCACCAAGUCUUUAUAAAAA
This 523-nucleotide long non-coding RNA is filed under the name Homo sapiens (human). RNAcentral describes it as "HSALNT0325728". Lineage: Eukaryota; Metazoa; Chordata; Mammalia; Primates; Hominidae. The record is from RNAcentral.